UCUUUCUGCAAACGCCUUGGA
This 21-nucleotide microRNA is filed under the name Arabidopsis thaliana (thale cress). RNAcentral's name for it is "ath-miR2934-5p". The record is from miRBase by way of RNAcentral. Lineage: Eukaryota; Viridiplantae; Streptophyta; Magnoliopsida; Brassicales; Brassicaceae.